UGCGCAGGCGGGGAAAUAAGUCAGUGGUGAAAAGCUGCCGCUUAACGGUAGUCUUGCCAAUGAUACUGUUUUUCUUGAGUAUGGUUAAGGUAGGCGGAAUGUGCAGUGCAGCGGUGAAAUGCAUAGAGAUUGCACAGAAGGCCGAUUGCGGAGGCAGCUUACUGAGCCAUAACUGACGCUGAGGCACGAAAGCGUGGGGAUCGAACAGGAUUAGAUACCCUGGUAGUCC
RNAcentral lists this ribosomal RNA (229 nucleotides) under uncultured bacterium. Its description in RNAcentral is "partial 16S ribosomal RNA". It matches the Rfam family "Bacterial small subunit ribosomal RNA", at positions 568 to 796 of the family's 1533-position model. The record is from RNAcentral.